GUCCAGUCCGACCGAGAUUUCCCUUCGACCAAUCAACAGUUGACAGUUGACAGGAAACGUCAAAAAUCCCCUCCCGCUAACCAAUCAGCGGCGAGAAGGCGGGGGCGGGCUCUGCCCUCGAAGAUUCCAUGUGACGCUCCUCAGUAGUUCCCAGGCGGUCACAUCUGAGAGCCGGAGACUAUGAAUCAGAAGGUCGGGUUGUUCGUUCUUCUGGCCGCGGGCCUCCUCUGCCUCAGCCUCGUCUCUAGGGCCGAAGACCCGAUUGAGGACGGUCUGGGCGACGACGUAGACGUGGAGGACGAGAUGGAUCUGGGUCUGGCCGGCGACGAGGAGGAGCUGGAGGGAGACGGGGACAUGCAGGAGGACGCUCCACCUGCGCCGAAAACUCCUCCUACGCCCAAGGUGAUCUACAAGGCUCCAGAGCCGAUGGGGGAACAUUUCAUCGCUGAGUCUUUUGACCGGGGGACCCUAGACGGCUGGGUGAUGUCCAACGCCAAGAAGGACGACACCGAUGAAGACAUCGCAAAGUAUGACGGUAAAUGGGCGGUGGAGGAGAUGAAGGACAGCAAGCUGCCCGGCGAUAAAGGUCUGGUUCUGAAGACUCGAGCCAAACAUCACGCCAUCUCAGCCCAGCUGCUGCGACCUUUCACCUUCGACGCCAAGCCGCUCAUCGUCCAGUACGAGGUGAACUUCCAGUCGGGCAUCGACUGCGGCGGCGCCUACGUGAAGCUGCUGACUCAGACUCCAGACCUCGACCUGGACCAGUUUAAGGAUAAAACUCCGUACACCAUCAUGUUCGGACCCGACAAGUGCGGAGAGGAUUACAAACUUCACUUCAUCUUCAGACACAAAAACCCCAAAACAGGAGAGUACGAAGAGAAGCACGCCAAGAAACCAGACGCCGACCUGAGGACGUACUACACGGACAAGAAGACCCACCUGUACACACUGGUGUUGAACCCUGACAACACCUUCGAGGUGUUGGUGGAUCAGACGGUGGUGAACAGUGGCAGCCUGCUGACGGACAUGACUCCACCGGUGAACCCCCCCGCUGAGAUCGAGGACCCCGACGACCAGAAGCCGGACGACUGGGACGAGAGGCCCAAGAUCCAGGACCCCGCCGCCUCCAAGCCCGAAGACUGGGAUGAAGACGCUCCUGCUCAGAUUCCAGAUGAAGACGCGGUGAAACCAGACGGCUGGCUGGACGACGAGCCGGAGUACAUCGGAGACCCCGACGCUGUCAAACCUGAAGACUGGGACGAGGACAUGGACGGCGAAUGGGAGGCUCCUCAGGUCCCUAACCCCGCAUGCGAGACGGCCCCAGGCUGUGGCGAAUGGAAACGGCCAAUGAUCGACAACCCCAACCACAAGGGCAAGUGGAAGCCCCCCAUGAUCGACAACCCCAACUACCAGGGCGUGUGGAAGCCGAGGAAGGUCCCCAACCCGGCGUUCUUCGAGGACCUGCAGCCGUUCAGGAUGAGUGCGUUCAGCGCCGUCGGGCUCGAGCUCUGGUCCAUGACCUCCGACAUCUUCUUCGACAACUUCUUCAUCACCGACGACCGCAACACCGCAGAGCGCUGGGCCGCCGACGGCUGGGGGCUGAAGAAGGCUGCGGAGGGCGCCGCUGACCCCGGUCUGGCCACCCAGAUGUUGAACGCUGCAGAGGAGCGUCCGUGGCUCUGGAUCGUCUACGUUCUCACCGUGGCUUUACCGCUCGUCCUCAUCAUCGUCUUCUGCUGCACCGGAAAGAGGUCUUCAGGCUCAGAUAAGGGUCAGUUGAGUCUCAACAACUUACAGGAAGAGUUAAAGGAAGCCGGACGCCCAAAACGACCCGCCGCCUCUGGCCUGAAGAAGAGCCCAGCGACGCCGGCAGCGGAGUACAAGAAGACGGACGAAGCUCAGCCCGACGUAAAGGAGGAAGACGAAGAGAAGGAAGAGGAAGAGGAAGAGGAGAAGGCUGAAGAAGCAGAGAAGAGCAGUCCAGCUGCAGAAGAGAAGAGCGACGGAGAGGAAAGUCCUGCAGAGGAAGCAGAGAAGGAGGAAGAGAACGAGGAGACGACUGACGAUAAGUUGGAGGACGACGUUCUGCGGAGAUCUCCCAGGAACAGGGGGAACAAGGUCAGAAAGGACUGAUAUCUCUGAAUCCACAGCCCUGACCUCAACACCUUCCCAUCUCCCCCUCUCCCCUAAAAUAUCUCCCCUCCCCUCCCCCUCUACUCGUCUGCUCCGAGGCGAUGAAGCCUAAGUGGAACCCGUGGAAGCAGCGAAGCCGACAGGAAACUAAUCAAGACCUCUGAUACGGACGCCUGCUCAUCGCGAUGACAACGAUGAUGAUUCCAGUAUGAACCGGACUGAGUUAGCGUGUUAGAAAGGAUAUUUGUUUUUGAGAGAGAUUACCUGAGAUUUAACUAAAACUUCCUGCAUCAUUCCUUUAAACAACAACCGAGCAGACUCGGAUCACCGACUCCCGUCCCGUCUGCCACAUCACCACCACCCGCUCACUGUCCAGCGCCAUCCUGAGCUAGCGACCCCCGCUCUACCAACAGCCUGCUAAUAGGCUCUCAGCAACUUGCUAAUAAGUCUACUGACAGAUGGAAAUUUGGCAAUGCAACUCCCACUAGUUAGCCACAAUCUGAGGUGACAAUCUUCCUGUUUGGGCUACCAACAGACUGCUAAUUAGCUCACUAUCCGGCUGCUAAUUAGGCUAAGAGAAGUCAGAAUUAUCCUACAAACGUUAAGAGAAAUUGCCAACCUAAAGUCUUGCCAAUUGGCCUACAAACAGGCUGCUAAUUAGUUCUCAACAACUUGCUAAUAAGUCUCCUUACAGAUGGAAAUUUGGCUCCAACAAGUUAGCCCACAAUCUGAAGUAACCACCUUCCAGCUUGGGCUACCAACAGUCUGCUAAUUAGGCUAACAGUAGCCAAAUUAGCCAAUGAACAGUGAGUGAAAUUGCUAACGCUAAAAGUCUUGCCAAAUAGCUAAUAAAAGUAGCUCUCAACAACUUGCUAACAAGUCUCCUGGCAGCAGUUUGGUUAUCAACGCCCUCUGACUAGCCAACAAUGUUUGGGCUACAAGCAGUCUGUUAAUUAGCCUAAUUAGCCCCCUGAUAGUGAGCUGACAGCAGUCAGAAAUUAUCCCAUGAGCAGUGGGAGAAAUUGCCAAUUAGCUUAUGAACAUGCUGCUAAUUAGCUCGCUAACAUUUCCAACAACUGUCUUGUUUUCCAGGCUAGUAACUUAUCUUGUAAACAACACGCAAAUUAGCCUGCUAACAGUUACUUUAUUAUCCUCAUGGGAGAUGUAUUACCCUACAAUCGAUCAGGGAAUUGACUAAUUUUACUUUUAGCCUGCUAAAGCAACUUGGUAGCUAUCAGGCUACUUGUACUACAGUUUUAAGUAGCCUACUGUUGUCCCAUUUGGACUUAUUAGCGUUAACAACGGGCUGCUAACAAGCCCACAAAUGAUGUAAUUUACUUACCAACAAUUAGCCAAUUAGCCUUCUAAGAAGAUGAUUCGCCUACUAACUGUUGGCUCGUUAGCCGUCCUAGAAUUUUACAAAUUAGCGAUUUAGUGAUUAGCCACAGCGGGCACCCGCUGCUAAUAUUUAAACAAAAAAAAAAAAGACAGCUUAUACAUUUUCUUCCCUUUUUUCAUGUCUCAUUUUCUUGUUGUUUUGAAUUGUGUUUUGUUUUGUGUUUGCUCCACACGUAGCGCUCGUGUUUGCUCAGCGUUUCCUGUUUUGUUGUCCUGAUGGUAGCCAAGAGAGGGGGGGGGGGUCAGAGGUCAGAGGUCAGAACCACGGAGCCUGGAACCGUUGGCCAGAAAGCAUUAGAGGCAGAUCUAACCGUGAAGGUCAGUGACGUCAGAACGGUCUUUGCAGCAGACGAACUUCUGGAACGGACAACGUAAGAAAUCCUCACAUCUCCAGUUGUUUAUGAAAUGUGACACCUUGGGAAUACGAGGUUUUCACCCUCUGGUAGUCCGUUAUUGUCCAUUUUUACGUCAACUUCUUCUGCGUUCAAGCACUACCUCUCCUCCUCCUCCUUCAUCUGUCCAAACAAACAUGACAGCGGCUCGUUGGCUCUUCCUGUCCAAUUUAAAAGUGUAUUUUCUGAGUUUAGCCGUUCCGGUAGGGCUGCAACGAACGUUACUGUCACAGAGUGGAGAAACUAGAAAAUAUUCACAUUUAACAAGCUGAAAUCAGAGGACUUUGACCUUAUUUCCAUUUAAAAAAAAAAAUGACUCAAACCAAUGAAUCAUUCUGGAAAAAUGGUUGCAAAUUCCUUAAAUAGUUCUCUGCAGCUCUACGUUCAGACGAUACAAAACCAGCGUCUGUCUGUCUGUCUCGACAGGAUUACCUUUUGCUCGCACCUGUUCCUCACUGGGGAUUGGAUGUGCACACCUUUACCUUCACAUCCAAACUAACCCUCUGUAGCUUUUCUCCUUAAAGUCAAACUUGAGUGCAGCGAGCCGCUGUCGUCUUUUCGUUUGGACGUUAAACUGAAGUCGUGUCAGCAGGUGGACGGGACACCCAGCCCCACUUUCAUCAACCCCAUAUGAAAAGAAAAUACGGCACUAAGGGAAAACUCCGGCGCUUAACCCUCUCACCCCGUCCGCCUGCUGCACCUCGACGCCUCCCCCGGUCACUAACGCCCUCCUGCACGGAUCCUGAAUCUGUGUCUGGGAGUUCUGCCCCAUGUUUUAAAAGACAGCACUUGAGCGUGACAAAGUUCUUUCUCAACUUGAAAUGACUUACGGUUCACUUAGCGGCUUUUUCCUCCAGAGCUUUCAACGGCAUCUCGCAGUCUUCAUCGAGGGAUGGAGUUUGACGGAAGAUCACCCGUGACGCGAUGACAACUUAAGCCCACUUUGUCCACAGAUGAAGACUGUGAGGACAGGUUGAAAGCUCCAGGAAAAACUGUUGAGUGAAGCUUGAACUGAGACGAAACGGAAACUCGGAAGUUCAAAAAGUUUUUCAACAUAUCAAACCCAAUUUUCUGUUUAUGGCUGGCAUCUAUUCUGCCCGUUUAUUUAUAUUAGUUAGCAUUGUUUUGUCUUUAUGGCUGGCAUCUAUUCUGCCCGUUUAUAUAUUAGUUAGCGUUGUAAGUUGUGCGCAAUCCAUGCCCAUACGUCUGUCAUCCUAGAGAAGCAGAAACAGCCAAUCGUGGACAUCUUUAAAGAGGAAACGAGUCACCAGUAACCACCAGGUGAUGGUAAAAAUAAAACCGGAGUUGAAAUAUUAAGGAUAUUAACGUAAACUACUUGUGUUGUCGUCUGCUGCUGACCACCGGAAAACUAGCAAAAUGGCUCGAAGGUUUCUGGAAAGUUAGUGUAAACCUGACCCUUCCUCUUGCACCACCAUCAGGACAAGAAAAAGCUCUCCGAAGAGCACAACAAAGGAGAAAUAUUCCCAUGUACUUUGCCUGUAUAAAAAAAAAAAUAAUCCUAAUUUAUGUGUUUUUUUUUUUGUAUUCAUGUAACGCAGAAGAUUUCAUCCUGUAGAGAGGCUCCUUCUACUUUAACUUCCAUGUGACUUGAGCGAGCAUCGUUAAGUGGCGUCCGUGUACAGCUUUGGAGAGUUCAAAAAUGCAAACGAAUCUGAAAUAAAACUGGUUUUGUUAAUCUUGAAAGUGUGUGUGGAAAAAGAAUAACUACAUUAGUCCAGUCUUGUAUCCAUGACGUAUACGUGACUGUUGAUGUGUCUGUCGUCCUCUUGUGUCACACGUACCGGUAAAACAACUUAAAGGGUCUGUUUUUUUUCUUGAUUUAAUUAAGGUCAGGAUUCCCGGCAAUGACGAGCAAGCUGCGUACUGAUGAGCUAAUGGGGUUUUGAGAGGCAGUGGGCAGUAGGGGGGGCUCUGGGGAAGCCAUAAUUUGAAGUCUCUCUGGCUGUCGGUGAAGUCAGGUUUUGGGGCUUGAGGUGCACUGGAGGUCCCCGCUUCCAUAACUUUUAUUUCCCUCCUUUUUUUUUUAAUUUUUAGGCUAAACACAAGCCGGUUUAGCUCUAAGCUCUGCUGCUUGUAGUCUGUUUCUGAAAAGUGUGGGAUUAUAAAGCUGUAGCAGUAGCAGCAGCAGCAGCGUUGCAUUCCCAUGCACGAUGUACGUUUCAGCCAUACUCUUUCAUCGUCUCCCUUCCUAUUUCUUUUUAGUCUCAGAUUCUUUUUGUGUCCGGCUUGAGCUGCCUAUAGCUUAACAAGACUGUAGCCUGAACACUGUAUCUGCUGGUGAAUCUUUACAUGACUCUGUAACUCUGUACUUUUUAUUUUUGUUUUUUUUUGUUGACAUUGUGUUUUGAACUAAAACUUUAAUAAUGGUUGGCCCAGCCUGUUUCUGAUGUACACACACCUGUGUGGAGAGAUGGACCUGCUGACACGCCACACGAAAAAAAGGUCCAACUUUGAAUAGAAAUACUGUGAUGAUGGAGCCUGGUGUGCGUGUGUGUAUGCGUGCGUGUGUGUGGACACGCUGUCAAAAUUUGUUUUGAUGAAUAAAAAAAAGGCCAAAUGGAAACUAAA
Molecule: RNA transcript, 6512 nt
Organism: Sander lucioperca (pikeperch)
Lineage: Eukaryota; Metazoa; Chordata; Actinopteri; Perciformes; Percidae
Gene: canx
Gene name: calnexin
Exons: 17
Source: RefSeq, a predicted model, not a curated record